AAAAAAAAAUUUCAAUAGUUUAUGCCUAGGAAGUUUAUGUGCCAUAACUGUGCAUGUUGAACUGUAUAGUCUUUACGAUAACUUGAAGCAUCCGGUAUACUAAUUCAAUUGCAUCUUACUCGGGCCCAAAUUAUUUCCAGUAGCUACACCUCCAACUCAAGCCAUCAAUUUCUCAAUCAUGGCAUUAUUUGACGAGAAAAGAACACUUGCAGUUGUUAUACUUUCCUACCCUUAACUUUGCAACCAUUUUCAAACACCGAACAAAACCGCUCAGUAGUUGAAGGAUGGAUGAUUAUAUUACAAGAAAAGGCUGGAAUAUAAGCGUCUGUGUUUAAUUCAGAGAAGAGUCCUCGGUCAGCAAAA
Armigeres subalbatus is the source of this 363-nucleotide long non-coding RNA. RefSeq lists it as uncharacterized. The record is from RefSeq and is a predicted model, not a curated record. The transcript is spliced from 3 exons. Lineage: Eukaryota; Metazoa; Arthropoda; Insecta; Diptera; Culicidae.